RNAcentral lists this ribosomal RNA (119 nucleotides) under Pteropus alecto (black flying fox). Lineage: Eukaryota; Metazoa; Chordata; Mammalia; Chiroptera; Pteropodidae. The record is from RNAcentral.
UUCUACAGCCAUGCCACCCUGAAUGUGCCCGAUCUCGUCUGAUCUCAGAGGCUAAACAGAGUCGGGCCUGGUUAGUACUUGGAUGAGAGACCACCUAGAAAGACCAGGUGCUGUAAGCA